This 254-nucleotide ribosomal RNA is filed under the name uncultured bacterium. RNAcentral's name for it is "partial 16S ribosomal RNA". It matches the Rfam family "Bacterial small subunit ribosomal RNA", at positions 524 to 776 of the family's 1533-position model. The record is from RNAcentral.
UACAGGGGGGGCAAGCGUUGUUCGGAAUUACUGGGCGUAAAGGGUCUGUAGGUGGCCAACUAAGUCAGACGUGAAAUCCCUCAGCUUAACUGGGGAACUGCGUCUGAUACUGGAUGGCUUGAGUGUGGGAGAGGAAUGCGGAAUUCCUGGUGUAGCGGUGAAAUGCGCAGAUAUCAGGUGGAACACCGAUGGCGAAGGCAGCACUCUGGCCGAGUUACUGACGCUGAGGCGCGAAAGCUGGGGGAGCGAACGGG